Molecule: unclassified non-coding RNA, 354 nt
Filed under: Hevea brasiliensis (rubber tree)
Lineage: Eukaryota; Viridiplantae; Streptophyta; Magnoliopsida; Malpighiales; Euphorbiaceae
Source: RNAcentral
UUUUCUGCUUCAAGUGACUUCACUAAGACCAUAAAUUAGCCAAAGUCAAAACACGCAACUCCUUCAAAUCACCGAUCGAUUGUUUGUCGAACAGCCCUAACACUCCAAGAUUUCACCUUUUCCAACCAAAACACCAGGAAACACAAAACCCAUCAGAACCCAUCUCAUAAUUGGAUCAAAAAACAAACGAAAAGGUGGAGAGGUUGAGGAAAAAAUUUGAAUAUGGCGGGGAAAAUAGGGAUGAAGAGAGAGAGAAGGAGAGAAAUGGGAAAAUCGGAAAAGUGUAGAAGGGCAAGGAAGGGAAGGAAGGAGGGUGAAGAAAUUGAGGGGCAAAAGGGAAUUGGGGAUUUGCGA